RNAcentral lists this ribosomal RNA (426 nucleotides) under uncultured bacterium. RNAcentral describes it as "partial 16S ribosomal RNA". It matches the Rfam family "Bacterial small subunit ribosomal RNA", at positions 356 to 773 of the family's 1533-position model. The record is from RNAcentral.
GGGGAAUCUUCCGCAAUGGACGAAAGUCUGACGGAGCAACGCCGCGUGUAUGAAGAAGGUCUUCGGAUUGUAAAGUACUGUCUUUGGGGAAGAAUAAACUAUACGUGAAUAAUGUAUAGAGAUGACGGUACCCAAGGAGGAAGCCCCGGCUAACUACGUGCCAGCAGCCGCGGUAAUACGUAGGGGGCGAGCGUUGUCCGGAAUUAUUGGGCGUAAAGGGCGAGUAGGCGGAUACUUAAGUCUUGUGUGAAAACUGGGGGCUUAACCCCCAGAUUGCAUAGGAAACUGGGUAUCUUGAGGACAGGAGAGGAAAGUGGAAUUCCUAGUGUAGCGGUGAAAUGCGUAGAUAUUAGGAGGAACACCAGUGGCGAAGGCGACUUUCUGGACUGUAACUGACGCUGAGGCGCGAAAGCGUGGGGAGCAAAC